CAAUGCCAGUCAGGAGAGGGAAGCAACACACAUCCCAGUCAGGAAGCUGCAGCUGGCGAAUGGAAAGAAAAACAAGUUUCCUUCUCACUCUGCGGCUGAAACAGAGGAUCAUUUCUGCACUAAGAGGGAUCAGAAAGGAAAGAUGGUGGAGAGAGAGCUGGGUGUCAUCUGCAGAGCUGUGAAAACGAACAGCAGAUUCUCUGAAAAUAAGACCAACUGGGAGGAGAUGGAUGAAGAAAAGGACCAGGACCAGAACCCUGAGGAACACCGGAGGAAGACUGGGCCUUGACCAAAACCACCAGGGAAACUGAUUGUUAUUUGCUGAGAUGAAUUUUUGAACAAACCGAAGCUCAAACACGGAGAUUAAACGCGUAGCAUAAGAUUGUAUCUAUGGUAACAAUAAAAUGCUAAAAAUUGUU
This is a long non-coding RNA of Xiphophorus hellerii (green swordtail), 419 nucleotides long. RefSeq lists it as uncharacterized. NCBI's taxonomy places the organism in Eukaryota, Metazoa, Chordata, Actinopteri, Cyprinodontiformes, Poeciliidae. The transcript has 2 exons. The record is from RefSeq and is a predicted model, not a curated record.